AGAGCGUAGGGUGAAUGCCUUGGCAUUAAGAGCCGAAGAAGGACGCGGUUAACUGCGAAAAGCCAUGGGGAGCUGUAAGCAAGCAUUGAUCCAUGGAUAUCCGAAUGGGGAAACCCGGCGGUCGUAAUGGGCCGUCACCGUUACAUGAAUAAAUAGUGUAACGGGGGGAACCCGGUGAACUGAAACAUCUAAGUAGCCGGAGGAAGAGAAAGAAAGAUCGAUUUUCUUAGUAGCGGCGAGCGAACGGGAAAGAGGCCAAACCGGGACUCUACGGAGUACCGGGGUUGAGGACCUGCGGAAUCGAAGUUGGAGAUAGUCGAAGACGGUUGGAAAGCCGAACCGGAGAGGGUAAAAGUCCCGUAGGCGAAAUCAAAGACGAGAGGCGGGUAUCCAGAGUACCACAGGACACGAGUAAUCCGGUGGGAAGCAGGGGGGUCCACCCCCCAAGCCUAAAUACUACUUAAUGACCGAUAGCGUAUAGUACCGUGAGGGAAAGGUGAAAAGAACCCCGGGAGGGGAGUGAAAGAGAACCUGAAACCCUAUGUUUACAAGCAGAGGGAGCGAAAGCGACCUCGUACUUUUUGUAGAACGGGCCGGCGAGUUACUGUGUGCAGCGAGGUUAAGGCGUAGAGCGCCGGAGCCGAAGCGAGAGCGAGUCUGAAGAGGGCGAAAGUUGUGCGCAGUAGACCCGAAACCGGGUGACCUAUCCAUGGACAGGAUGAAGCGGCGGUAAGACGCCGUGGAGGUCCGAACCACACGUAUGUUGAAAAAUGCGGGGAUGAGCUGUGGAUAGCGGAGAAAUUCCAAUCGAACUCGGAGAUAGCUGGUUCUCCCCGAAAUAGCUUUAGGGCUAGCCUCGUUUUAGAUUACCGGGGGUAGAGCACUGAAUGGGCUAGGGGGCCACAAAGCUUACCGAACCCUAUCAAACUUCGAAUACCGGAUAAUUGAUGAACGGGAGUCAGACGGCGGGAGAUAAGUUUCGUCGUCAAAAGGGAAACAGCCCAGAUCUACGACUAAGGUCCCAAAAUCACAGUUAAGUGGAAAAGGAUGUGCAGUUGCACAGACAACCAGGAUGUUGGCUUAGAAGCAGCCACUCAUUUAAAGAGUGCGUAAUAGCUCACUGGUCGAGUGAUUGUGCGCCGAAAAUGUACCGGGGCUAAACUGUGUACCGAAGUCUAGGGAUCGUGAUAAACGAUCGGUAGGGGAGCAACGUGUGCGGGCUGAAGCCGAAGCGGAAGCGACGGUGGACUGCACGGGAGAGAGAAUGCCGGCAUGAGUAGCGAGAGCAAAGUGAGAAUCUUUGCCGUCGAAAGCCUAAGGUUUCCUGAGGAAGGCUCGUCCUCUCAGGGUAAGUCAGGACCUAAGCCGAGGACAAAAGUCGUAGGCGAUGGACAACUGGUUGAUAUUCCAGUACCACCUUUAGCGUUUGACUGAAGCAGUGACACAGAAGGAUAGACAGAGCGCGUGACUGGUAGAGCGCGUCCAAGCGAUGAGGGAGUUAAGUAGUGAAGAACGCUUAACAAUCCUGGGUCGUGAUGGGGACUGAAAAUAAGUAGGGAAGCUGUUGAAUUCACGCUGGCGAGAAAAGCUGCUAAGGAGCGAAAGGGUGCCUGUACCGCAAACCGACACAGGUAGGCGAGGAGAGAAUCCUAAGACGAGCGGGAGAACCCAUGUUAAGGAACUCGGCAAAAUGACCCUGUAACUUCGGGAUAAAGGGAGCCACGAGAGCGGCCGCAGAGAAUAGGCCCAAGCGACUGUUUACCAAAAACACAGGUCUGUGCGAAGUAGAGAUACGACGUAUACGGGCUGACGCCUGCCCAGUGCCGGAAGGUUAAGGGGAAGUGUUAGGGCAACCGAAGCACGGAACUUAAGCCCCGGUGAACGGCGGCCGUAACUAUAACGGUCCUAAGGUAGCGAAAUUCCUUGUCGGGUAAGUUCCGACCCGCACGAAUGGCGUAACGACUUGGGCACUGUCUCAACAUGGGACCCGGCGAAAUUGUAGUAUGUGUGAAGAUGCACAUUACCCGCGAUAGGACGGAAAGACCCCGUAGAGCUUUACUGUAGUUUAACAUUGGAUUUCGGUAACAUAUGUACAGGAUAGGUGGGAGGCGAAGAACCAGGGACGCCAGUUUCUGGGGAGCCGACCUUGGGAUACCACUCUUGUGUUAUUGGAGUUCUAACGAAUUGCCGUGAACCGGGAUUCGGACAGUGUUAGAUGGGCAGUUUGACUGGGGCGGUCGCCUCCCAAAGAGUAACGGA
This 2259-nucleotide ribosomal RNA is filed under the name human gut metagenome. Its description in RNAcentral is "bacterial LSU rRNA". It matches the Rfam family "Bacterial large subunit ribosomal RNA", at positions 14 to 2304 of the family's 2925-position model. The record is from RNAcentral.